This 253-nucleotide ribosomal RNA is filed under the name uncultured bacterium. RNAcentral describes it as "partial 16S ribosomal RNA". It matches the Rfam family "Bacterial small subunit ribosomal RNA", at positions 524 to 776 of the family's 1533-position model. The record is from RNAcentral.
UACGGGGGGGGCAAGCGUUGUUCGGAUUUACUGGGCGUAAAGGGUGCGUAGGAGGCGCGGUAAGUCGGGUGUGAAAUUUCGGAGCUUAACUCCGAAACUGCAUUCGAUACUGCCGUGCUUGAGGACUGGAGAGGAGACUGGAAUUUACGGUGUAGCAGUGAAAUGCGUAGAGAUCGUAAGGAAGACCAGUGGCGAAGGCGGGUCUCUGGACAGUUCCUGACACUGAGGCACGAAGGCCAGGGGAGCAAACGGG